AGCAGCCGCGGUAAUUCCAGCUCCAAUAGCGUAUAUUAAAGUUGUUGCAGUUAAAAAGCUCGUAGUUGAAUUUCGGGAUCAAUAUGUUGGUCGUGCCUCGGUACGUACUAGCUUAUUGGUUUCUCCUUUCUGGAGAACCAUGAUGUCAUUUAUUUGGUGUCGUGGGGAAUCAGGACUGUUACUUUGAAAAAUUAGAGUGUUUAAAGCAGGCUCACGCUUGAAUACAUUAGCAUGGAAUAAUGAAAUAGGACGUUUGAUUCUAUUUUGUUGGUUUCUAGGAUCGGCGUAAUGAUUAAUAGGGAUAGUUGGGGGCAUUAGUAUUCAAUUGUCAGAGGUGAAAUUCUUGGAUUUAUUGAAGACUAACUACUG
This 369-nucleotide ribosomal RNA is filed under the name uncultured Glomeromycotina. RNAcentral describes it as "SSU rRNA". It matches the Rfam family "Eukaryotic small subunit ribosomal RNA", at positions 569 to 945 of the family's 1831-position model. The record is from RNAcentral. Lineage: Eukaryota; Fungi; Glomeromycota.